Non-coding RNA from Nelumbo nucifera (sacred lotus), 3065 nucleotides. The record is from RefSeq and is a predicted model, not a curated record. NCBI's taxonomy places the organism in Eukaryota, Viridiplantae, Streptophyta, Magnoliopsida, Proteales, Nelumbonaceae.
UUUUCUUAUCGACGACUCUUUUUUAUUGUGCCAUAGAAUUUGCAAAGGUUUCCUUUUCAAACUAUAAGGAUUUCAUUUAUAAUUCUGCCUCUUUACGGCCAUAACUUUGUUCAUGAAUCCCUAUAAUUGAUUUAGAAAUGAAGACAUUAUGUACUAAUGGGAAUAUAUGAAGGUUUGAACUUAUUAUCAGAUGAUUUGUUCUCUUUAUAUGCAUGAUGACAUACGUGUCUUUGCUUUAAAAGUAUGUGUUAUAUUUCCCUAUAAAUGAAUUUGACUGCACUUAUGGAAUUCAAGUCUCUCAUUAUGUACACCAUUGAAUUUCAUAUUGUUUAUCUAGAUAAUUUCAUAUUGUACAUCACUACACUAGUACCAGAACAUGUUAUUGUCCAAAAACAAAAAGUUUAAAACUAUACGUUUUAGAAUAACUGAACAACAGAAAGUUGAAGAAAAUAAUAUGUGGCCAAACAAAUUCCAGAGAAAUUCUAAUUAGAUACUUGUGGAAAAUGUAUUUAUUUUUAAAUUAAUUACCAAACUAGCUAAAUGAAGGAGUUGUUAGGGUGCUGGGAGUUACAAGGCCUGUCAAAGAGUGCUAGCGGCCUGUGGGUGUGCAUUCUGGCUGCUGUGAUUUACUGUUUGGGCAAAAAUGGCUCUUUCACAUUAUUUUCAAAGAUCCAAAAGAGCUGAUUGCCAUUUCCUAUGGAAAGAUCUCUGUGGUCUUGGUUGUAAAGGGAAUUCAGGUCUCUCAGCUAGGGGCUAGGCUGAACUCUAGGAACUUCUGGCAAUUGUAAUGUUGUUUCGAUCUAGCUGUUCCUUUUCUGAGUGAUGUUCCUUGGGGGCAUCCUAUUGUACGUUUAUUACUAAAUUAAUAAAAUCACCUUACUUUUCAAGAGAAAAAAACUAACUAAUGAUUGAUUACUAUGAUGACAAGAAUGGAAGAAGGACUUGGUAAAAUGUACCUCAAAUACAUGUGUCAGCAUCUAUUAUAAUGUAUAAUUUUUAUUGAUUUGAAUAUACUUUGAAGCAAUUUGAAAAAUUUUUCAUUUCUUUUUUGCAUUUUUAUUUGAGUCAAAUGGUAGGACUUGAUGAACAGACUACUGAACCUUGACCAAGUGACCAAAAUUAUUUUGUGUCCAAUAUGAGUUUCACAGCAUUGACACACAGUAUUGGACAAAAGCAAUGACAAAAUAGAUGAAAAUAGUCAAAUUGGUAUUGGUUUAGAAUAUUACAAGUAUGUCAAACACCCUAAGAAGUUUAAGCUGGCCUCAGCCACCUCCAAUCCCUUGUUACAUGUAUUCCUUCCACAUUGAAGAAAUACAUUCAUGUAGUUGUAGCAGAAAAAUCAUGUGGAAACCAUUUUAAGGGAGAGAGGUACCCUGUAAAAGUAACUCCCAACCUCUCCCCUAAGCAAGCUAUUUCCCAAUAAACAAGAUGAUCUUGGGAUCCAUCUAAAUAUGAUUUUCAAUCUGGAUGUCAAAGACCUAGGGGCCAUUUGAUAACAACUGACAUGGCUGAAAUGAAUGGCUUCUUUGAUUCCCUCUUUUCAUAAAAUCACCAUUUAUCAAAAAAAAGGAAGAGCUGGAUAGCAUGUUGAGUUCAUUUCUAUAUCUUAUGACUAUUUAUCCACUAAAACACAGAACAACAAUAAUUCAAUUCAGCCAUUGUGUUUGUUAUCAAACGACCCCCUGGCCUCUAUGAUGAGAUGAUAUAGGAGCCAUGUGCCAACAUGCAGUUUCCUUUGCAAUCCAAUUAAUAAUCACAUUGAUGCCCUAAUCAAUAACCACUUACUGAUCUCAAGUUGAGUGUCUAAAGUAUUAACAGGCUCUCUAUCAUGGUUGAAUCCUCAAAUCCAAUGGGUCUAUAGGAGGUCUUACAAUAAAUGGAAUUGGCAAAGUAUUAGCAAGUUCCUGUACUUGGAAUCAAUCAAUGUGGUGGGGUCCCCCUCCCCAAGAUGCAAUCAAGUUAAACUUAGAUGGAUGUUCUAUUCAGAUACCAGGUGCUCCAAUUUCUAAGGCAUACACGAGGUGACCAUUCAAGAUGCUCAAGCACGCACUCACACUUUAAAUCGGUACAAUGCAAUGUGGAACAAGCUCAUACCAGAAAGUUCAACUAUUGACAAGUAAUCUGCUUCCAAGCUCUUGAAUGUAUCAGAGAAAGAGCAGUUUUACCGCCAGGUUGCGUCAACAGCUGAAUCUGGAUGGGACUUUAGUACUAGAUGGAUGAGGUAAUUUAGCAGUGAGAAAGAGAAAAUGCGUAGGUUUUUGGCUCUUUUGACAUCAUACCGUGGUUGCUGAUAGCUUAGCUAGUUAGCUAUAACACUUUAGUUUGGAGAGGAAAUGAUACCUGUGCUGGUCAUUAUGUUGUGACGCAAGAGUACCAUAGUGGCUACGAGCCUGGCAAGAUGCUAUUGCCUAUUAAGUUCAAUACAAGAGUCGGUUGAUCAAUUGGAAAUGGAGCCUGAAUCAGCUGUCUACUAUGCUGUGGACUGGAUUGUAUUCCUAGAGAUGAUUGUGUAUUUAUACAAACUGGGUGUUCCAAUGUUCAUAUUCAUCACAUCAACUGUGACAUGGUAUUAGGUAUAAUUUACGGGGAUUUGAAACCCAAAAAUAUCCUACUCCAGAGCAAUGGGCAUGUAACAUUAAUAGAUUUUGAUCUGUCACGUUUGACAUCUUGCAAACCUCAUCAUAUGGUGUCUUUUGGUCUAUGCUGUUGUAUUUUUCUAGUCUCUUCAAUCAUACUGCAUAAUGAAUCCAUUUUCUUUCGAAUAAGAAAUUUUCUUGUACUCAGUUUUAAUGGGAUAUUUAUAAAUGCAGGGUUUGCAUCUGGACAACAUUCUUGUUGUUUUUUCCUUGCCAUAUUCAAUGCUUGCACUGUGAUCACUAGAUUUGGAAGAAUUGCUUGGGAAAAUUUUGGCAUGUUAAUAUAGAGUUGUACUAUGAGGGAAAUGCAUGAAUGGGCCCAUUUUAAUAUUUUGCUCUGGUUUGAUCAUUAUGUUAAAGUGGAUUUGAAUUGGAAGAUGUGCUAUAUUAUUUGACAAAUUGAUUUUUUUUUGAAGUCCUUGUAUUUUU